This 409-nucleotide ribosomal RNA is filed under the name uncultured microorganism. RNAcentral describes it as "bacterial SSU rRNA". It matches the Rfam family "Archaeal small subunit ribosomal RNA", at positions 330 to 745 of the family's 1478-position model. The record is from RNAcentral.
GUGCACCAGUCGCGAAUACUUUACAAUGUGCGAAAGCACGAUAAGGGAACUCUGAGUGCCUCCUAAGGAGGCUGUUCAGGUGUCUAAAAGCACCUGAAGGAAGGGCUGGGUAAGACCGGUGCCAGCCGCCGCGGUAACACCGGCAGCCCAAGUGGUAGCCACGUUUAUUGGGUCUAAAGCGUCCGUAGCCGGCUGGGUAAGUUCCUUGGGAAAUUUGGCUGCUUAACAGUCAAGCUUUCAGGGAAUACUGCCCGGCUUGGGACCGGGAGAGGUCAGAGGUACUCCAGGGGUAGGGGUGAAAUCCAUUAAUCCUUGGGGGACCACCGGUAGCGAAGGCGUCUGACCAGACCGGGUCCGACGGUGAGGGACGAAGGCUAGGGGCGCGAACCGGAUUAGAUACCCCCGUAGU